UGUGGGGCCCUGGUGUGAGGGAGAAGCCGAAAUGGAGAUCUUCCCCCCCACCGAGAAGGGGAAGGGGAAAAGGGGAAAGAAGGUCUGUUUUUAUCUCAAUACUCCGGGCCCUAUGUUGGGAACCAAAAAUGUCUGUCGUUGUUUAACUGCAGCCCUAACUAAGUACUGCACAGCUGCUACCUCACUACCCUUGCCCCAGUGGAGAGGAGAAUUGGAAAGAAUAGAAUUAGAAUAGCAAUGUUCUGAAGAGUAGAAAAAAAAAUGAACAGAGUUGGUUCCAACAGAGGAAGAGCUGAGACAUAUGUGCAGAAGACAGAACAAGUUUAAACUAUUUGGAAAUGUUUGAGACACAUCAUUUUCUCAAAUGAGAGUUGUGGUCACUUGGCACACUGAGAUAUUCUCUGUCAUUUGAGUGCUGCAUUUUUCCACGGAAUGGAAAUUUAUGGGAUUUCUCAUUUAAGAAGUGUCCUAGGACCUGUCUUGCUCAGCCCUAAAGCCAGUCUUUCAUGCAUCUGGGAAGGACCAUUAUUCUGUUUUCAUGGUGGGUUUAUGUUGCUGUCUCACCAAUCUCUGUGGAGUCAGCUGAAUUCCAGUGGUUAUAAAAUGAUCCUUCAGGUGGCUGUAAGACUACUGGUAACACAAUCCUAUAAUAUCUCAGACUUCAACUCUGUAAG
Molecule: long non-coding RNA, 674 nt
Organism: Lepidothrix coronata (blue-crowned manakin)
Lineage: Eukaryota; Metazoa; Chordata; Aves; Passeriformes; Pipridae
Exons: 6
Source: RefSeq, a predicted model, not a curated record